This 159-nucleotide long non-coding RNA is filed under the name Mustela putorius furo (domestic ferret). RNAcentral describes it as "lncRNA (ENSMPUG00000031744.1)". Lineage: Eukaryota; Metazoa; Chordata; Mammalia; Carnivora; Mustelidae. The record is from RNAcentral.
CGAGCACUCCGAACCUCAAGACACAACACAGAGGACCUUACCAGAGAUGCAGCCUCCAACUGCCUACCAUCCAUGGGAGAAGAAUUUGAAUGGCUUGCCAUGAUCCAUUCCUCUAGAGGGACGAAGGGUAAACCCGCAUUAGGAGUCCAGUUGGGGUGA